GACGAACGCUGGCGGCGUGCUUAACACAUGCAAGUCGAACGGAAAGGCCCUGCUUUUGUGGGGUGCUCGAGUGGCGAACGGGUGAGUAACACGUGAGUAACCUGCCCUUGACUUUGGGAUAACUUCAGGAAACUGGUGCUAAUACCGGAUAGGAGCUCCUGCUGCAUGGUGGGGGUUGGAAAGUUUCGGCGGUUGGGGAUGGACUCGCGGCUUAUCAGCUUGUUGGUGGGGUAGUGGCUUACCAAGGCUUUGACGGGUAGCCGGCCUGAGAGGGUGACCGGCCACAUUGGGACUGAGAUACGGCCCAGACUCCUACGGGAGGCAGCAGUGGGGAAUAUUGCACAAUGGGCGGAAGCCUGAUGCAGCAACGCCGCGUGCGGGAUGACGGCCUUCGGGUUGUAAACCGCUUUCGCUCAUGACGAAGCUUUGUGUGACGGUAGUGGGUAAAGAAGCACCGGCUAACUACGUG
This 469-nucleotide ribosomal RNA is filed under the name uncultured bacterium. Its description in RNAcentral is "partial 16S ribosomal RNA". It matches the Rfam family "Bacterial small subunit ribosomal RNA", at positions 28 to 507 of the family's 1533-position model. The record is from RNAcentral.